UAACAGCACCAGGCAGGCAGACGUAGAAACACUCAGACUGGCAGUAGAGUGCCAUCUUUGCUUUGUUCUUCAGACUUGUAAGCAUCCCCAAGCGGGCAAAUCAGGAAGAAAUAAUGACAGAAACUGGUAGAUGGGGACCGCGUUCUUCCCCUCUCUCGGGAGAUGAUGGAGGAGGAAAGAUGCUGCAUUGUGUGCCCCUCUGGUGCAGCUCACACCGGUGGCAGAGGUUGUGCAGCUGUGGAAUUUGGAGCCCGUGCGUAAGUGGGGAUUCCAGGGAGUUCAGGUAUCAGCAUGCAAGCUGGCUCCUAGGGCUCAGCCCGCCUUUUGCCCUCAGGUGCUUUGUGAAGUUCCAUAUUGCUCUGGAUUUCAGAGACAGAUGCUGCUUCAUGUACCCAGGAUCUCUUUCAAAUUCAGCUAAUUCAGGUCAAGCACAGUGCAUGGAGAGCUGGAGAACAAGCUGA
Molecule: long non-coding RNA, 461 nt
Filed under: Meleagris gallopavo (turkey)
Lineage: Eukaryota; Metazoa; Chordata; Aves; Galliformes; Phasianidae
Description: lncRNA (ENSMGAG00000022013.1)
Source: RNAcentral